This 248-nucleotide unclassified non-coding RNA is filed under the name fungal sp. RNAcentral describes it as "partial internal transcribed spacer region". The stretch from base 1 to 46 matches the Rfam family "Eukaryotic small subunit ribosomal RNA", at positions 1786 to 1831 of the family's 1831-position model. Lineage: Eukaryota; Fungi. The record is from RNAcentral.
AAGUCGUAACAAGGUUUCCGUAGGUGAACCUGCGGAAGGAUCAUUAAAAAAGAUUAAGAAUAUCAUGUUCUUAAAACACCAUCUGUGUAAUUGUACAUGUUGCUUCCGUGGGCAGCUGGCUAUGUCCCUGCAUCUCUUCCUUUAUGGAGGACCCACGGGAGGUAUUUAUAAACUAUGCCAUUUCGUGAUUUCGGUCUGACAUUGCUUGAUAAAUGUUAAAACUUUCAACAACGGAUCUCUUGGUUCUC